AUGCCAGGAGGAACGAAGCAUGGCCCUGGGGAGGAUGAAGGGAAAGUUUUCAUAUGCUACCUGAGAACUUGUUUUGACAGGCGUUCCCACACUUGUGCUGUAACAACUGCUGGAACCAGUGGCAUGAAUGAUGCUGGACACAAGAUAUGUCCUGAAAAGAGGACUUCUUUUGGAGAGACACGAAGACACACUGGCAUGCCUGAAAGAAAUGAUUAA
This 216-nucleotide long non-coding RNA is filed under the name Anser brachyrhynchus (Pink-footed goose). RNAcentral's name for it is "lncRNA (ENSABRG00000019775.1)". The record is from RNAcentral. Lineage: Eukaryota; Metazoa; Chordata; Aves; Anseriformes; Anatidae.